This is a long non-coding RNA of Peromyscus californicus insignis, 577 nucleotides long. RefSeq lists it as uncharacterized. The record is from RefSeq and is a predicted model, not a curated record. The transcript has 4 exons. NCBI's taxonomy places the organism in Eukaryota, Metazoa, Chordata, Mammalia, Rodentia, Cricetidae.
CAGCCCACCCCCCAUUCCCAUCUCCUCCAGGGUAAAGACUCCCCUGAGGAUUGAGUUCAACCUGGUACACUCAGUCGAGGUGAGAAGGACAAAAAACUGGCUGGGGCACUGAACAGAACAAUGAACUGCUCUUGGAUUCUUUAGGGUUGUUUAAGCUUAAGGUGACCAAACACUCAUCUCCAAACCCAGUGGGAAACAAAAGAGAGGAGAUUACAAGGAUUAAAGAUAUCCUAUAAAGAAACAGACUUCCCUGGGAGCUAGUGACAUUUCUGUGACCUGUGAUCUUCAAAGAAGCCUCAAACUAGAAAACAAAUACAAACACUAAGUCCCUGUCAAAAGAGCCUUUGUCCAGUGACUGAUGGGGGCGGAUGCGGCACCAGGCCAAGCUUGGGGAGUCCAGUCCAGGAGAGGGAAGAGAGAUUCUAUGAACAAGAGGCAUCAAGAUUAUGAUGGAGAAACCUACGGAGACAGAUGGGCCAAGCUGGUGAGAAUUUACUAACUUUAGACCAACAGUUUGCAGUCUCCAUGGGACUGGACUAGGCCCUCUGCAUAAGCGAGAGAGCUGUGUAGCUUAAUC